CUUGUUUCUUAGCGUGAUUAUCAUUAAAUUCAACAAUUGGUAUCAAAGCCUAAUACUUAAUCAGAAUCCUUCAUAAAAACAAUAUUCUUUCUCGAUUUCUAACAGAAUAAUCAAAAGUUAGCUUUUCAUAUUGUUCUUGUUUUUAGAAAUUUGAGAAUAUUCAGUUUCUUUCCACCCUGUAAUUAUCUAUAAUCUUCUAUUUAGUUUUCUUACGCUCUGUCCCUUCAUAAGAUAAAGAAUUCUUCAACUUCGAACACCCUCAAAUUAUGAUUUAAGGCUUCAAAAUUCUUGUAUCUAUUAUGAAUUUGGGAAUUGAAUUUAUGACUGGUUUCUCUUCUAUCCAAACUGCAUUCAAUUUUCCCAAGAUAUCAAUUUACUGUGCUCGACCCCGCUGCCGCAUAGAUAAUGGUGGAAGUGACGCACCGACGAUGAAAGGUGGGGAGUUCAUUCUCCAACUCCUCAACUUCAUCCACCACCACCAAAAUCCCACUGUGAAAUCAAAUCAAGGUGACUGUUUAUUGUAUCUGUCCCUACGUAAAAUUUUUUGUGCAAAAUUGAGGCAUUGUGAAAUCAAAUCUAGGUGACUGUUGGAUGGAUUCUUCACUUGCGAUGGGCACUACUUUCUCGUGGUGGGAAAACCUGGUGCUGGCAGUCGAUAAGCUUCUGUAAAAAAAGUUAAAUUAGGUUUUACCAUCGAGCUUUAGGUGAUGAAGACGGGGGGCUCCAAUUGUAAAUAGUUAAAUUUCAAGCCCAUGGUUGUAAUUAUCAUUCAAGGGUCAGUUUACAAUUUUUAAAGGAAGGGGCCUUCCAAGAAUUUAGGAAAAUUGGGAGGCUCUGUUUGUAAUUUAAACUAGGGGUCAUAUUGCAAAUUUCAAAAUGAUAUUGAAUUUGAAUUUGAAAACAAGUUUUAAAUUAGAUUUUUAAAAUAUUUGACCCAAUUAAAAAUUUAUUUAAAA
Molecule: long non-coding RNA, 956 nt
Filed under: Olea europaea subsp. europaea
Lineage: Eukaryota; Viridiplantae; Streptophyta; Magnoliopsida; Lamiales; Oleaceae
Source: RNAcentral